This 484-nucleotide ribosomal RNA is filed under the name uncultured bacterium. Its description in RNAcentral is "partial 16S ribosomal RNA". It matches the Rfam family "Bacterial small subunit ribosomal RNA", at positions 28 to 523 of the family's 1533-position model. The record is from RNAcentral.
GAUGAACGCUGGCGGCGUGCUUAACACAUGCAAGUCGAACGGUGAAAGCGGAGCUUGCUCUGCUGGAUCAGUGGCGAACGGGUGAGUAACACGUGAGCAAUCUGCCCCUGACUCUGGGAUAAGCGCUGGAAACGGCGUCUAAUACCGGAUACGAGCUGCGAAGGCAUCUUCAGCAGCUGGAAAGAACUUCGGUCAGGGAUGAGCUCGCGGCCUAUCAGCUGGUUGGUGAGGUAACGGCUCACCAAGGCGUCGACGGGUAGCCGGCCUGAGAGGGUGACCGGCCACACUGGGACUGAGACACGGCCCAGACUCCUACGGGAGGCAGCAGUGGGGAAUAUUGCACAAUGGGCGAAAGCCUGAUGCAGUAACGCCGCGUGAGGGACGACGGCCUUCGGGUUGUAAACCUCUUUUAGCAGGGAAGAAGCGAAAGUGACGGUACCUGCAGAAAAAGCGCCGGCUAACUACGUGCCAGCAGCCGCAGUAA